This 433-nucleotide ribosomal RNA is filed under the name uncultured bacterium. Its description in RNAcentral is "partial 16S ribosomal RNA". It matches the Rfam family "Bacterial small subunit ribosomal RNA", at positions 29 to 507 of the family's 1533-position model. The record is from RNAcentral.
AACGAACGCUGGCGGCAGGCCUAACACAUGCAGGUCGAACGAAGUCUUCGGACUUAGUGGCGCACGGGUGAGUAACACGUGGGAAUAUACCUUACGCUGGGGGAUAACAUCGGGAAACUGAUGCUAAUACCGCAUACGCCCUUCGGGGGAAAGAUUUAUCGGCGAAAGAUUAGCCCGCGUCCGAUUAGCUAGUUGGUGAGGUAAUGGCUCACCAAGGCUCCGAUCGGUAGCUGGUCUGAGAGGAUGACCAGCCACACUGGGACUGAGACACGGCCCAGACUCCUACGGGAGGCAGCAGUGGGGAAUAUUGGACAAUGGGCGCAAGCCUGAUCCAGCCAUGCCGCGUGAGUGAUGAAGGCCUUAGGGUUGUAAAGCUCUUUCACCCACGACGAUGAUGACGGUAGUGGGAGAAGAAGCCCCGGCUAACUUCGUG